ACUCCUACGGGAGGCAGCAGUGGGGAAUUUUGGACAAUGGGCGCAAGCCUGAUCCAGCAAUGCCGCGUGAGUGAAGAAGGCCUUCGGGUUGUAAAGCUCUUUCAGUUGAGAAGAAAAGAUUGUGACUAAUAAUUGCAAUUCAUGACGGUAUCAACAGAAGAAGCACCGGCUAACUACGUGCCAGCAGCCGCGGUAAU
This 197-nucleotide ribosomal RNA is filed under the name uncultured bacterium. RNAcentral describes it as "partial 16S ribosomal RNA". It matches the Rfam family "Bacterial small subunit ribosomal RNA", at positions 335 to 524 of the family's 1533-position model. RNAcentral also lists the same sequence under 2 other names. The record is from RNAcentral.